RNAcentral lists this ribosomal RNA (855 nucleotides) under Triticum aestivum (bread wheat). RNAcentral's name for it is "partial small subunit ribosomal RNA". Lineage: Eukaryota; Viridiplantae; Streptophyta; Magnoliopsida; Poales; Poaceae. The record is from RNAcentral.
GAUGGAGAUCAUGUGCCGCGGCACUACGACCUGAAGGGGCGACGCAGCGGCGGCGGGGAUCGGUGCAGCCACGGGGAGAACCACGGGGCGGCGGCGCUGCGGCCCGACGGGGCGACACAGCGGCAGCCUGUUGCUCGAUCGAUGAAGAGGCGUGUAAACUUGACGUUGAUCUUCACUAAAUCCUGCGGAAGCGUGCAUCGAAUUAUCAGACUGGAUGGGACGGUGCGGGAGCAGGAGCCCGCUAUCAAGGAGAUGUGCCAAGCUCGCUUUAAAAAUUUGUACGGGUCGGCCGAAUAUACGAAGCUUCCAGAAGAAUCUUCGCCCGCGCGGAUGGAGAACCGACAGAAUACUGGCCUCAAGAAGCGGAAGCUUCUGAGGACGGUGCGGGAGCAGGAGCCUGCUAUCUGUGGAAAUUGUAGAACCCUGAAGGAGAUGGAAAGCAAGGUCAAGAACCUCCGGGACGACAACAACCGGCUCCGCGGCGAGCUGCUCGACAAGGACCGGCAGCUUGCGGUGACGCGGACACUUUUAGUUGACAGGGAGCGUCAGCUUACGAAGACCCAGACACUUCUAGCUGACAGGGAGCAGCAGCUUGAGGCCCGGACACUUCUGGUUGACACAAAGGAGUUUGAAACAGAAAUUUUGAGGCUUAAGCAUCUGUUGGCUGAGAAGAAUGAUACAAAUAACUAUGCAGCUCUAGUGUCUCCUGAGACAAUAACUGAAGUCAUACAGAAGCAAACUCCAGGUUCACCUGCAAGAACACCGGUGUCAAACAGAACGAAUACAGUACAGUCCAGUGUGAAUGCCAUUGUCCACCAUGGUAGCUUUCAGGAUGAAGCUAGAGAGCAGGACUGC